GAUGAACGCUGGCGGCGUGCUUAACACAUGCAAGUCGAACGAAGUACUUUUACAGAUUUCUUCGGAAUGAAGUUUUAGUGACUGAGUGGCGGACGGGUGAGUAACGCGUGGGUAACCUGCCUCACACAGGGGGAUAACAGUUGGAAACGGCUGCUAAUACCGCAUAAGCGCACAGUACCGCAUGGUACAGUGUGAAAAACUCCGGUGGUGUGAGAUGGACCCGCGUCUGAUUAGCUAGUUGGCAGGGCAGCGGCCUACCAAGGCGACGAUCAGUAGCCGACCUGAGAGGGUGACCGGCCACAUUGGGACUGAGACACGGCCCAAACUCCUACGGGAGGCAGCAGUGGGGAAUAUUGCACAAUGGGGGAAACCCUGAUGCAGCGACGCCGCGUGAGCGAAGAAGUAUUUCGGUAUGUAAAGCUCUAUCAGCAGG
Molecule: ribosomal RNA, 433 nt
Filed under: uncultured bacterium
Lineage: Bacteria
Description: bacterial SSU rRNA
Rfam family: Bacterial small subunit ribosomal RNA
Source: RNAcentral